UACGGGGGGGGCAAGCGUUGUUCGGAAUUACUGGGCGUAAAGGGCUCGUAGGCGGCCAACUAAGUCAGACGUGAAAUCCCUCGGCUUAACCGGGGAACUGCGUCUGAUACUGGAUGGCUUGAGUUCGGGAGAGGGAUGCGGAAUUCCAGGUGUAGCGGUGAAAUGCGUAGAUAUCUGGAGGAACACCGGUGGCGAAGGCGGCAGCCUGGACCGACACUGACGCUGAGGAGCGAAAGCAUGGGUAGCGAACAGG
This 253-nucleotide ribosomal RNA is filed under the name uncultured bacterium. RNAcentral's name for it is "partial 16S ribosomal RNA". It matches the Rfam family "Bacterial small subunit ribosomal RNA", at positions 524 to 776 of the family's 1533-position model. The record is from RNAcentral.